This 681-nucleotide ribosomal RNA is filed under the name Triticum aestivum (bread wheat). RNAcentral's name for it is "partial small subunit ribosomal RNA". Lineage: Eukaryota; Viridiplantae; Streptophyta; Magnoliopsida; Poales; Poaceae. The record is from RNAcentral.
AUGGAGUUAAGAUUUUGUUCACUGACCAACUCCCUCCCCGAUGACCUUCUGCAUCGCCUCCAGCUCGAUCAGCCUGUCUUCAUUCGCCUGCGCGCGCACACAGAAGAAAUCAAAAUCAGGCUGGAAUUGAUCAAUUGGAACAAAUUUUACCACACGGAGCAGAGGAAGCAGGUUGAAAUGUAUCCAAAGCAGUUGGUGCAGACCGCUGUCCUGGUGACCGCGAAUUUGAUCUGCGCGAUCUCGCGCUGGAUGUGGUCGAAGAAGGCCUUGUUGAGCCUGGGGCGGAGCCUGCCGAUCUCGAUCUCGAUCUCCCGCGCGUCCGUGUCCAGGAAGAACUCCACCAGCCCGGCGUCCGUCUCAGGUAUCACCCGCGCCUGCACUCACGCGGCCACGCCGUGUCAUCUUGUCAGCUCAGCUCAGGCCGGCAAGGGAAGGGGACGUGCUCGACGGACGGAAUUGCAGCCAAUGAAUGAAUUACCGUACCUCGCGCUCCUUGCGGCGGCGCUCCUGCUCCUCCUUGACCUGGAGGUCGAAGGCGGCGCGCGCGUCGGCGUCGCUGUCGAGGCGGCGCCGGAACUCGAGGCGCGAGAUGUGGCCCGGCUGCGGCGGCGCCAGGAUGCCCUCCGGGUCCUGCGUCCCAAGCCGAGCGCGUCAGUCAGUCAGCGCCGGCCAGCCAGCUGA